Hermetia illucens (black soldier fly) is the source of this 699-nucleotide long non-coding RNA. RefSeq lists it as uncharacterized. The record is from RefSeq and is a predicted model, not a curated record. Lineage: Eukaryota; Metazoa; Arthropoda; Insecta; Diptera; Stratiomyidae. The transcript is spliced from 2 exons.
GCGGAAUAAGGCUGAUCGGAGAGACAGCUGAUGGCUGGGAGAUGGUUUGGGGAAUCGUUUUUGGUUGGUCGCGAGGAGUUCUGCUGUGCUGACUGCUUUUGGCAAUUGUUGGCAUCAAAGUGUUAAAAUUUAAGAAGUGUCGCGCGACGAGUGGAAGAUAAGAGGAACUCUGAAGGAUUCAUUGAUGAGUUACAAGAAUUGGAGUCAGAAAAUUUGACAAGUGUAUUGGUUGCUGUUAUUCUACAAGAGCUACUCGGAAGCAUUUAUUGAUGGCCUACAAGAACUGAAUUCUGAAAAUUUAACAUUUAAAUUAAAAAGAAAUGAACAAAAAAUUAGUUUAAAAAUUUGUAAAUAACAGCGUCACAUUAUUUAUUUGCGUGAGUGUAGGAUUUUUAUAUAUUUUGUUUUUAGUAACACAAGUAAAACAGAAGGAAAGCUGAGAAUACAGGGGAACGACGUUGCCUGUUUGAGAGCUCUGGAAGGGGAGGGUAUUUUAAUUGUUUGGUAAAGCUGUUUUCUUAUUUUUAUUCCUUUGUAUAAGUGUUUAUCCUACAUUUCGCAUUUUAUUCUUAUAUUUGAAAAAGGCUGCAAUGGUAUUAGUAUUUAUUUUUUUCUUCUUUCUAUUUUCUUUAUUAUUUAUAUUUUGCCGAUUGUUCUUUUAUUUUUGAUUCAUUUUAAUAUCACCUUUUUUUGGUUUUA